GGGUUGUGAGGUUAAGCGACUAAGCGUACACGGUGGAUGCCCUGGCAGUCAGAGGCGAUGAAGGACGUGCUAAUCUGCGAUAAGCGUCGGUAAGGUGAUAUGAACCGUUAUAACCGGCGAUUUCCGAAUGGGGAAACCCAGUGUGUUUCGACACACUAUCAUUAACUGAAUCCAUAGGUUAAUGAGGCGAACCGGGGGAACUGAAACAUCUAAGUACCCCGAGGAAAAGAAAUCAACCGAGAUUCCCCCAGUAGCGGCGAGCGAACGGGGAGCAGCCCAGAGCCUGAAUCAGUAUGUGUGUUAGUGGAAGCGUCUGGAAAGGCGCGCGAUACAGGGUGACAGCCCCGUACACAAAAAUGCACAUGCUGUGAGCUCGAUGAGUAGGGCGGGACACGUGGUAUCCUGUCUGAAUAUGGGGGGACCAUCCUCCAAGGCUAAAUACUCCUGACUGACCGAUAGUGAACCAGUACCGUGAGGGAAAGGCGAAAAGAACCCCGGCGAGGGGAGUGAAAAAGAACCUGAAACCGUGUACGUACAAGCAGUGGGAGCACGCUUAGGCGUGUGACUGCGUACCUUUUGUAUAAUGGGUCAGCGACUUAUAUUCUGUAGCAAGGUUAACCGAAUAGGGGAGCCGAAGGGAAACCGAGUCUUAACUGGGCGUUAAGUUGCAGGGUAUAGACCCGAAACCCGGUGAUCUAGCCAUGGGCAGGUUGAAGGUUGGGUAACACUAACUGGAGGACCGAACCGACUAAUGUUGAAAAAUUAGCGGAUGACUUGUGGCUGGGGGUGAAAGGCCAAUCAAACCGGGAGAUAGCUGGUUCUCCCCGAAAGCUAUUUAGGUAGCGCCUCGUGAAUUCAUCUCCGGGGGUAGAGCACUGUUUCGGCAAGGGGGUCAUCCCGACUUACCAACCCGAUGCAAACUGCGAAUACCGGAGAAUGUUAUCACGGGAGACACACGGCGGGUGCUAACGUCCGUCGUGAAGAGGGAAACAACCCAGACCGCCAGCUAAGGUCCCAAAGUCAUGGUUAAGUGGGAAACGAUGUGGGAAGGCCCAGACAGCCAGGAUGUUGGCUUAGAAGCAGCCAUCAUUUAAAGAAAGCGUAAUAGCUCACUGGUCGAGUCGGCCUGCGCGGAAGAUGUAACGGGGCUAAACCAUGCACCGAAGCUGCGGCAGCGACGCUGAUGCGUUGUUGGGUAGGGGAGCGUUCUGUAAGCCUG
Molecule: ribosomal RNA, 1219 nt
Filed under: Escherichia coli
Lineage: Bacteria; Pseudomonadati; Pseudomonadota; Gammaproteobacteria; Enterobacterales; Enterobacteriaceae
Description: bacterial LSU rRNA
Rfam family: Bacterial large subunit ribosomal RNA
Source: RNAcentral